UCGGUGCUCCAUGUGGAGAUGUCUCUGUAGCUCUGGUGAAUCAGAUAAAAAUGUGGUCAUCUGCAGAUUCCUGCUCCACAGGGGGUGAAAAGUGUCGGUAUGAGCUGAAGUCAUCCAAUCAGACCUACAUCUUUGCCAAGCACACCACGGCCGACAAGGAAGUGGACGACCUCAUGUUCCAUCUCAAGCCCUCACGUGAUUCCCCCACCUGCCGCACUGUGGGCAUAUCCAUCUCUGAGGCACUUGAUCGAGUAUCCGAUAAUGGCACCAACUACUGC
Molecule: long non-coding RNA, 278 nt
Organism: Megalops cyprinoides (Indo-Pacific tarpon)
Lineage: Eukaryota; Metazoa; Chordata; Actinopteri; Elopiformes; Megalopidae
Exons: 3
Source: RefSeq, a predicted model, not a curated record